Molecule: ribosomal RNA, 292 nt
Filed under: uncultured bacterium
Lineage: Bacteria
Description: partial 16S ribosomal RNA
Rfam family: Bacterial small subunit ribosomal RNA
Source: RNAcentral
GUGUCAGCCGCCGCGGUAAUACGGAGGAGGCAAGCGUUAUCCGGAAUUAUUGGGCGUAAAGCGUCCGUAGGUGGAUGGAGAAGUCUGUUGUCAAAGCAUGGAGCUUAACUCCAUAAGGGCAAUGGAAACUCUUCGUCUAGAGUGCGAUAGGGGCAAGGGGAAUUCCCCGUGUAGCGGUGAAAUGCGUAGAGAUGGGGAAGAACACCGGUGGCGAAAGCGCCUUGCUGGGUCUGCACUGACACUGAGGGACGAAAGCUAGGGGAGCGAAAGGGAUUAGAAACCCUAGUAGUCC